AUAUAAGGUCUAGCCUGCCCACUGAUUUUAAUUAAAGGGCCGCGGUAUAUUAACCGUGCGAAGGUAGCAUAGUCAAUAGUCCUUUAAUUGGGGGCUUGAAUGAAUGGUUGGACGUGAAGAGGGCUGUCUCGUUAAGAUAAGUUUGAAAUUAACUUUUGUGUGAAAAGGCAUUAAUGGGUUAGGGGGACGAUAAGACCCUAUAAAACUUUAUAGGUGAUUUUAAUUCUUUGAUUUUAGGGUAAGGAGGGCUUAAGUAAACCUAUUACGCUGGGGCGGCGGAAAUAAAAUUUGUAACUGUUUUUAAAUUUGAAUAGCUAUAGCUAGAGUUUGACCCUAAAUUUUGGUUUAUAAGUGUUAGUUACUUUAGGGAUAACAGCGUUAUUUCUUCUGAGAGUCCAUAUCGACGGAGACAUUUGCGACCUCGAUGUUGAAUUAAAGCUUUCUCCGGGAGUAGAAGUUCGGAGGACAGGUCUGUUCGACCUUUAAAGCUUUACAUGAUUUG
RNAcentral lists this ribosomal RNA (502 nucleotides) under Alpheus ramosportoae. RNAcentral's name for it is "partial large subunit ribosomal RNA". It matches the Rfam family "Bacterial large subunit ribosomal RNA", at positions 1843 to 2607 of the family's 2925-position model. Lineage: Eukaryota; Metazoa; Arthropoda; Malacostraca; Decapoda; Alpheidae. The record is from RNAcentral.